GGACUACUGGGGUAUCUAAUCCUGUUCGCUCCCCACGCUUUCGCGCCUCAGCGUCAGUAUUAUGCCAGGUGUCUGCCUUCGCCAUCGACGUUCCUUCCGAUCUCUACGCAUUUCACCGCUACACCGGAAAUUCCGACACCCUCUCAUAUACUCUAGUCGCACAGUUUGCGAUGCUCUUCCCAGGUUAAGCCCGGGGCUUUCACAUCACACAUAUACAACCGCCUACGCGCCCUUUACGCCCAGUAACUCCGAUUAACGCUCGCACCCUCUGUAUUACCGCGGCUGCUGGCAC
This 292-nucleotide ribosomal RNA is filed under the name uncultured bacterium. RNAcentral's name for it is "partial 16S ribosomal RNA". The record is from RNAcentral.